RNAcentral lists this ribosomal RNA (576 nucleotides) under Stolephorus zollingeri. RNAcentral's name for it is "partial large subunit ribosomal RNA". It matches the Rfam family "Bacterial large subunit ribosomal RNA", at positions 1816 to 2597 of the family's 2925-position model. Lineage: Eukaryota; Metazoa; Chordata; Actinopteri; Clupeiformes; Engraulidae. The record is from RNAcentral.
CGCCUCUUGCGUAUAAAAGUAUAAGAGGUCCCACCUGCCCUGUGACUCUAAGUUUAACGGCCGCGGUAUCCUAACCGUGCGAAGGUAGCGCAAUCAAUUGCCUUUUAAAUGAAGGCCUGUAUGAAUGGUAUAACGAGGGUUUAACUGUCUCUUUUUCCUAGUCAGUUAAACUGAUCUGUCCGUGCAGAAGCGGACAUUACAAUACAAGACGAGAAGACCCUAUGGAGCUUUAGACACUAGCCAAGUAUGAAUAAGCGGCCGCAUUAAAUGGCCCCAAGCACCCGUAGCCUUCUGGUAAUGUGUCUUAGGUUGGGGCGACCACGGGAGACAGAAAAGCUCCCGAGCAGAGCAGGGGACAUCCCUGAAACUAAGAGUAACAACUCUAAGUCACAAAAGUUUUGACUGAAGUGAUCCGGCCUAAUAGCCGAUUGACGAACCAAGUUACCCUAGGGAUAACAGCGCAAUCCUCUCCCAGAGUCCCUAUCGACGAGAGGGUUUACGACCUCGAUGUUGGAUCAGGACAUCCUAAUGGUGCAGCCGCUAUUAAGGGUUCGUUUGUUCAACGAUUAAAGUCCU